CAGGUGGUGACUGUAGCAAAAAGGAAAAACAGGCCAACAUGCAGGAUGGAUAAAAACCCUGAUUAUUACCCCAAUGAAUGCCAGUUGGCUGAAUUGAAUUCAAGCCCAGACUUCUGAGUCUUAAGUGUUGUCCACGUCCCUAAUCUUCUUUUGCCUUUAUAUUUGUGCAGACUCUUGCUAACCUAUCUCAUGGCCUCUAGACUUUCUUUUACCACACUAUGGAAACAAUGAUCUUUCAAAAAACCAAAAUCUGAUCAUGAUCAUGCCAUUCCUAUACUGAAAACAUACAAUGUUCUUCAAAAUAAAACUUAA
RNAcentral lists this long non-coding RNA (312 nucleotides) under Homo sapiens (human). Its description in RNAcentral is "non-protein coding lnc-CCDC171-10:1". The record is from RNAcentral. Lineage: Eukaryota; Metazoa; Chordata; Mammalia; Primates; Hominidae.